Gymnodraco acuticeps is the source of this 926-nucleotide long non-coding RNA. RefSeq lists it as uncharacterized. Lineage: Eukaryota; Metazoa; Chordata; Actinopteri; Perciformes; Bathydraconidae. The record is from RefSeq and is a predicted model, not a curated record. The transcript has 4 exons.
AGACAAUUCGUAGUGGAGUGGAGGUGGUGACCCUCAGCCCACGUGUCUUCAAGGAGAGAUGGUUUAUUCAAUGAGGCUCAGAUCAAGGAGGAGUUCCGACACAUAACAACUCUUUCACUGGAAGAGACUUUGAUGCUGAAACUGGAUGGGUCCACUAACACCACUCGCUCCAGCUGAUGCGUGCCAAAGAGGAGAUGCUGGCUCCAGGAUGCGCCCUCUUCUGAGCACAAUUGAUGAGGCCCAGAGUGUUGGAAAAAGAGAUGCAGUGGCCAGGUGCCUGAUUGAAGACCUUGGGUUAGGGUUAGAAGACCUUUUUCAAGACAGCCAGGACGAGCAUGACAACGUGGACCAAACUGUGAAGGUGCUUGUGAUCCAUGAUGCCAGGGACCAGCAGAUGUGUCUAUAGUCAGAGAGGGAGACCUGAUCCAAACAGAGAGGAGACCACCUGCAGGGUCAGCUAUCCAGAACCUGAUCCAAUCAGAUAGGAGACCACCUGCAGGGUCAGCUAUCCAGAACCUGAUCCAAACAGAGAGGAGACCACCUGCAGGGUCAGCUAUCCAGAACCUGAUCCAAACAGAGAGGAGACCACCUGCAGGGUCAGCUAUCCAGAACCUGAUCCAAACAGAGAGGAGACCACCUGCAGGGUCAGCUAUCCAGAACCUGAUCCAAACAGAGAGGAGACCACCUGCAGGGUCAGCUAUCCAGAACCUGAUCCAAUCAGAGAGGAGACCACCUGCAGGGUCAGCUAUCCAGAACUUGAUCCAAACAGAGAGGAGACCACCUGCAGGGUCAGCUAUCCAGAACCUGAUCCAAACAGAGAGGAGACCACCUGCAGGGUCAGCUAUCCAGAACCUGAUCCAAACAGAGAGGAGACCACCUGCAGGGUCAGCUAUCCAGAACCUGAUCCAAACAGAGAGGAGACCACC